This 205-nucleotide unclassified non-coding RNA is filed under the name Hevea brasiliensis (rubber tree). Lineage: Eukaryota; Viridiplantae; Streptophyta; Magnoliopsida; Malpighiales; Euphorbiaceae. The record is from RNAcentral.
AAAAAAGUGAGUUAGUUAUGGCAAUAUUUACAAAAUCAGUCCAUCAUCUGAGAACUGAGAAGUAAGAAUCUUGCUGCUCUAGCCCUUCAGAAAAUUGCUUAGAUGCAUGUAGUUGCUAAUAUAUUUAAGUACUAUAAAGAUCAACAACUUCCUUAUCAUAUCAUAUUAUGGUGGGCUGAAGAUCUUUGAUAAAGUAUUAAUUAAU